UACGAAUGGGGCAAGCGUUGUUCGGAAUCACUGGGCUUAAAGCGUGCGCAGGCGGAUUUGCAAGUCAGGAGUGAAAUCCUUGGGCUCAACCCAAGAAUUGCUUUUGAAACUGCAUAUCUAGAAUCCGGUAGAGGUCAGGAGAAUUCCUAGUGUAGAGGUAAAAUUCGCAGAUAUUAGGAGGAAUACCAGUGGCGAAGGCGCCUGACUGGGCCGGUAUUGACGCUCAUGUACGAAAGCGUGGGGAGCAAACAGG
This 253-nucleotide ribosomal RNA is filed under the name uncultured bacterium. RNAcentral describes it as "partial 16S ribosomal RNA". It matches the Rfam family "Bacterial small subunit ribosomal RNA", at positions 524 to 776 of the family's 1533-position model. The record is from RNAcentral.